Long non-coding RNA from Mya arenaria, 7709 nucleotides. RefSeq lists it as uncharacterized. Lineage: Eukaryota; Metazoa; Mollusca; Bivalvia; Myida; Myidae. The record is from RefSeq and is a predicted model, not a curated record. The transcript has 2 exons.
AUUUCUGUUAUAAUGAUAUAAAAUUACUUUAAAUCAUAUGCAUGACCGGUUUUAAAUAGUAGUGCACGGGAAAACAUUCUCUGGCCUAAACUGGUGCAAACAUGAGAUUGACAUCGUCGGCUACGGCAGUGGCACAAGUGACGAUGACCAUAGCAGCGUGGAGAGUGGGUCUAGCGACGGUUUCACGAUCUCAGCCAAACGUAUUAGGUUAAACGAUUCCUAUUCCGAGUCGCUCUGAGACAGGCGAAACAUCGGGGGGAUUGCAGGAUCUAGCCUACUACCCGGUUUAAUUAUUAAAAAUAUGCGCGUUUACGCUAUAAAGCGCGUGGACUAAGUUUUGAAUGUUGUUUAUGUGACAAAAAACUUUUAAUUGUUAAACAUUAAUAUAUAUAUAUAUGUAUAUUAAAUAUAUAUAUGUAAUUGUGAUUUAAGAUCUGUUGAACGGGGGUGUGUUUCUGUACAUGUACAUUUAUUUCUCUCGUAACCCCCACAUUAAAUACGCAACAUAAUAUGCAUGUAGAUUAUACACGUGAAAAGAAAAAUGUGACAAAAAAAAUAAUAUACAGGAUGUUACAGAGUAGAAGUACACAUUUAUUUUUGUCCAUGGUGUAUUGUUAAUAUUUCAUUAUUAUCAUUCAUUAUGUAUGGAAGAAUGCUGAACAAGUUAGAAUCUUCAAGAAAAACAGGCAGAAUGAAAGUGUUAAUUAUCUUAAACAUGGAAGAAAAUUUCAACCGCCAGCAAAGCCUAUCCGGAGAGGAAAUCUUCGAAGAGAAUCAUCUUAUACGCAGAAUGAGACCUCGGAUGAAUUUGUAACUUUUAUACCCUGAGAGACGAUUGACAUUUCCUCAACAGAAAGACAAAUUUAAGGAUUACAUUUAAUAUUUUUUUAAUUCUUUGUUUAUGCUCGACAUGAAUAAUUGUCAUGUUUUGUUUAUAGUAACUUAUGCUAUGAAGAUUUAUCUGUACUUCUAAAGCAGUACGAUGAUAAUUGUUGUGUUUUUUUGUGUGAAAAAUGUCCAGAAAACUAUAUUUUACUGAUAUGACUUCCAUUACGAAAAUCACAGGUGGUCUUGCCUUAGGUGAAAAUGAGAUAGUGAAGUAACGAUCUUUAGUAUUUCCAUAUUUAUUGAUUUAUGAUAGAAUUCUAAAUAAUGGCAAAUAUGUAAUUUAUUAAAGAUUAUUUAUAAUGUGAAAACUCUUUGUACUUUGCAAUAUCGUUCUGUGUGAGACCUAAGUAAUGUAUUUUCAAUGUAAGCAAGUCCAAAAACCUUUGAUAACAGUGCUUCAAAAUUUGACCAUUAAAGCAUUUAACCACUUAGCCUGCUAGCUUCACUCUAAGAUUUUGGUGAGUUUGGUAACUAGUUUGUAAAUAGGUAAAGUUUGUUAUGCUGUUUUCUGUGGUUUUUGGUCUUGGAUAAAAAAAAUGUGCCCAGCAUUUAAUGAAGUGUUCUCCGUCUGUCGUGAGAUGUGUGUUGUUAAGAAUUUUGAAUUGGCCAGUUUAAGACACAAAAUGUAUGGUUUUGAUUUGAGGGUGUGAUAAAGUACUUUGGAAAAUUUGACAUGCACCAUCAAUAUAUGAUCUGAGAUUAAAGUGUCUGCUUGAUUUUUUUUGUAAAAAAUGUGACGAAAUCGCUUGAUUAGAUCAUGCUAUGAAUAAUAUCAGCUUUGGAAGAUGUUCAAUGACACAUGUUAUGAAAUCAGAAGUUGUUUUAUCACCCCUUACAUUGUGAAGUACAAAAAACGUAUGUAAAAUGUAUGUAAAGCUGUGUUUGAGGUUGUUUUGAAAUGAAAAUGCCUACCGGCUUUAAAGCCAAUGCUCUUUUUCAGGGUUUAGAUUGUGUAAACUUAGUCAAAAUGUUAAAAAGCCUGUCGAAUACCUGUAUUAGGACUAUGUGAAUAUGAAAAUGUGAACACAAAACACCCAAGUCUUAAGUCACUUCAUCAGAUAUUAGCCUUAAAGGCUUCAUUUUAACAUCAUAGACGUGGGCUGAUUUUAUCAGCAUAUUACAUCUGUGUGUUUAUUGUAUUUGAAAUGAAAGCAGACCAUGCUUUAAUGACUAAAAUACAUUCUGGCUUUUGUUAUUAAAGACAGUAAAAAAAUAUAGAAAAGUUUUAAAAUAGUUGUGUAUAGUAAAAAAAAAAAGGAAUUGAUGUAAUUCAGCCCACGUAAUCUAAGAAGUGUUGCACACAGGAUAAUUCAUGCAUGGUGACAUGUCAUACAUAUAUCGAAAAUAGAAAUUCCAUUGUGACAAAAGUUUCAAUUGUUCUGUCUGAUAAAAACAAUUGACAGCCUUUGUUAAAAAUGUAUAUGAUCUCACUGUAGUGAAAGUAAAUGAACGUAAAUGAAAGGGUUGGGGUAUAAUAACAUAUUAUCGCGAGUGUACUAUGACCCUACACAUGUUUUGAUAUUGUACAAGAAUGUUCUUCUAAUAGCCUACGUGGCACACAGUCCAUUUAAUUGGUUUUACAAAUCUUGUCCAAACAGAUUUAUUUGUAAUGCAAAUUUUCUUUACCCAAAAUGACUUGUUUUUGCUUCUGUUAAAAUUACUUCACAGAUUUUUGUUUGUGAAUUUGUGAUUUUCCUCAUCGCUCUUUUACAAAUUAGAUAAAAAGUAAAGAGACGGAUGCAUAAUAAAUAUCGCAUUAUACCUAAAUUUAAAUUUUCGAUUCUUGAUAUUAAUGGGAAUGCUAAUGUGUAUCAAAUUUCUUUUUCAGAAUUUGUUUACAUCUUAAAGUUUAACUAACAGUUGUCACUUUUAUUUUCUAAGCAAGUUUUUUUGUCUUAAGUUACAUAACAUUAAAUACUACAUUUUGGAACGGCUCCAAGAUCUUUAAGAAAAGCCGAAUAAUAGGUUUAGCUUUUAACCAAAAAUUACAUUACAGCAUUGUUAGAGCUGAUUUGUUAAGUGAUCCAUAAUUUGUAAUAAACAUAACAAUGACUUAAGCCGUGAAGAUAUUACUUAUAUUCCAUGUUUUGACGUACAUGCCUUGUUUUAAAACCUUUUUUAAAGCUUGUUAAAUUUUUGUAAACUGUUUUGAAUUGGACUUAUAUCUAAGCAGGCAAUAUUUAAUAGCUUUUAGAUAUCAAUAUAAUAUCUUUGUUUCUUGACUGUUGUAGGGCGUUUUUUGUUGUAAUUGCUUUACAACUUCUGUCGUGAGCGACUGCAUAAAUAGUGCAAACAUUGAUAAAAGCUUAAAAAUGCAGGCAAAUUGAUUCUUAAUCCUGCCUUAUUUAUAAUUAACAAAAACAAAAAGAGUCUUAUAGGGGUAUUAUAUGAUAGGUCAAUAAUUAGUCCAUCCAAAGGUCAAUAAUAGUCCAUUCAUGUUCCAUCCCUCAUUUUUGACUGUGUUUGGUACAUAUGAAGAUUAAAUAGCAAAAUUAAGUGAUCUCAAAGAAUUCUCUAACAAUUCUUUAAGUUAGGUAUUUCCAACAAUCUUCUCUCAGGGUAUAUAUUGUUAGGUGCCACAAAUAGCAUUUUUAAAUGAGGUAUAUAUUGAUUUUGUCAAGUCCCUUUUAAUUUCCAUACAUCAAAUGUUCGAAUAGCAUUCAGUUAUAAAAAUAAUAUUAAUAAUAGCACGAUAAAUGGUUAAUUGACUGUAAUUAUUCACAAUCUGUGCUUUUUCUGAUACAUUAGUUGGACAAAUAGUCUCUAAGCAUCUAGAUUAUGUAAACAUAUUUUUGAAAAAAUUGUAUACGUCUAUUGUACAGAAAGAAAAUUUACUGAUCAAAAACAGGCUUUGUAUGUUUGUACAUUGUUUCCUGUAAAUGUCUCGAGAUAUUUCUCACUAUAUUUGUCCGCGGAGUCAAACAAGACAAGCUGUGACCUACACCACUUCUUUGUUAGUCACAGUUGUGUGUUAUAAUAGUCACUAUUGUUAAAGAUUUUGUUACCCAUUGGAUUUUUCUUCUGUCAUGUAUUUUUCAUUCGCAAUAAUUUAUUUCUAAUUUAUAAAUGCCAGUUGACAUACUGUUAUAUACAUAUAUCAAGGGUUCGCACAAUAUUUGAAUAGCUUGUUAGCAAAUUUUGUUUAGUUACGACUGUAUUGAGUUGAAUCCUUGAUAUUUUUGUUAAAGACUAUUAUUUCCCUCCCUGAAUUUAGCUGGUUGCUUAUAUUUACGGCCAUGCAAAAUUGAUUCUAUGUUUAUCAACAACAGUCAGGUAGGGUUUUAGCCUCGGGAUUUUAAAAAAUAUGAAAAUUUUGAAACAAAAAGUUGAGCCAAAAUUAUUGAAUAAGCGAUCAGAAAAGUUUUUAAAAAAUGAGUCGAGGAAAAUGUAAUAAACUACGAAAUAUUACCUUUCUGGUCAGAUAGGACUUUGAAAUGUUUAUGACCUUAUGUUUAAUGGUAAAAUAUUUUUUCUUAUGUUUCAAAGAAUUUUUCACGGCAUAUUGUCAUUGUUGGCAGGUUUUUAAAUUUGAACUGGACGAUAAACAUAGAAUAUAGUUUAAUAUGGCCUAAGCAAAAAUCUGUGAUAAUAGGAUGUGUGCAAAGUAAGACAUGACCAGGUGCUCCCUGUGAGCUGUUUUUAACGGAAAACCAUAUUUGUAUACAGUCGAAAUCGGUUGGCUCGAUAUCACUUGGUUCGAUUUCCUCGAGGCUCGAACUGGAUGUAAAGGUCCGCUUUUGUUUUACUGUGUAAGCAUUCCUGGUUAGCUCGAUAUUUGCGAGGCUCAAGGUAUUGUUGCUGGUCCCUGGGGUAUCAAGUCAACAGGUUUCGACUGUACUUACAUGUAUCGAAGGGCCUUUUCAAUGGAAAGAUCCAUGCUUUAAUUCCAUGAAUUUAAUAACAAAAAUCUGGUUAGGAAAUAAAUCAAAAUGCAUGCACAUUCUCUGAAGAAGAUAAUAAAGAUGAUCUGGUAAUGUUUUUAUAAAUGCAUUCAUGGUUUCCAUGAAAUUGACAUGUUAUCUAUAAAAUUCAGUGUAAUUCAAAACUUUCGGGGAUUAUUAAUGCGGAUAUCCUUUUUCGGCAUUUAGUCAUGCAUUUUAAUGUGGUGAAAUAUUUAAGAUUACUAAGAUAACUAAGGUAAUUUAGCUAAAACUAGGCCAACUUAGAUAAUAUAACUUUUUUGACUAAGUACUUUUUUCUGAGAAGCAUAAAUUGUUCAUUUUAAACAACUUCUAUUAGUACAUUAUUCCAUUGAAUUUGGCAAAUCCAUUGAAAUGCUGUUCACCAUUCGUCACCUUUGAAGUGCACAGGAUGCUGUCAAAAUUUAUCUACCAAACUGCUUUAAAUACCUAACUCAUAAUGACCCCUUAAAGUGAAAGUUUGCUGACCUUAAUAUUUAUAAGUAACAGGCCUUUAGUUCACAGGAGACUUGGUAUGUUCUUCGCCAUUUUAAAUGGUUAGUUUGAUUUUAUGAUUAUACAUAAUUUUAACAUAACAAUAAUUUGGUGUUAUUGAAAUAUUCCAAAAAUGAUUCUAAGGGUUUUGAGUUGCUGUGCCAUUGUUUGAUAUUAGAAUAAAGAAUUAAUGAAGAUACAUAUGAAAAGUGAUGCAUCUUUAUUGUUUUUUAUAUGCUGUUCAAAAACUUAUUAGAAUGAAAUGUAGAAUAUUUGAACAACUACUCCGUGCAAUUUUAAAUCCUGUCAAUGUUGAUUUUAAAACCUUCAUUAUUAACAUAUAUUAAUAUAUUUGAAAAUUGGUGUUGUAACAUAGAUAUAUUGUAUUAUAGUUAUUUUAGUGAAAAAGAUGUUUAAAUGUCUUAUAUUUUAACAAUUGGUAAUUUAUUAUUAAUAAUCUGUGUAGUUUACUAAGCAUGUAUUACUUGAAAACAUCCAUUCUAACAGAUUGACUGCAUAUAUUCUUUAAUACCAGCUGUGUUCCAUCUGCAAGAUAUUUCAUUGUGUGAAUUUGCCAAGGUCUUGCAAGUAAUGCCUUUAAGGGCUGAAUAAUUCAAAAGCCAACGAAUUGGAAAAAAAUGUUUCCAAAAGUAGAAUAAGCCAGAUUUGCAUCAAUUCUGGUUGCUCUUUGUAGACUAAAUUAGUUGCAUAUUUCAUGCACACUUAUGGAAACAAUUUCCAAUUUGAAAAGUUUUCAACAACAAAGCUUAAUAUGAGCUUAGCUCAAGAUCAAUGUAGCUGUUAUUUUUAUAUGGAGUUAAGCUGAUCCUGUGCUUAUAUAGCCAUUAAAAUGAAGUAUUUUAUGGCACAGUUGGUACUAAAAAUGGCAUUCAGUGGGCUUAUUACGUACGACUUUCUAUGAAGGUUUAAACCUGUUUUGUCAUGGAAAAUUCUGGUAAUUACAUUGCUUAGUUUAAUAUUUAUAUUUGAAAUCAAAAUGUCUUUGAAAGAAGCUUUUGUAACUAAUGAAUAUCCAUAAUGUAUCCUUGUUUUAAGAUUUUUUUCUGGGAAAAUGGACUUUUUUGGUAAAUCGAUAUUUCAAUGUUUGAUUUUAUCUUUGUAUGAUCAAAAUUGUUACAGUGCUCACGUAGCCCUACUAGCAACUAGUGUUAGCCUGUGGUAAAAAGGGACUAUAUACAUUUGAAAACAAACUGAUAAGCCUUUUUGUUAUCAAUGUAUGACUUGAUUUAAUCUAAAUUUGAUCCAUUUUCUUGCACAAAAUGUCUAUGAAUCCUAAGUGCUAAACUGAUCCCAAGUACAUGAUGAAUGAAUUUGAGAUAUAAUUCUUCUGCACUGCUUACUUCCUACUUAAUUAAAAGCAGCUAUGGUUAAUAUUGACAUAUGGAAGAAAUUGUGUCUUAUUAAGAACAACUUGGCCAGCAAGUGUUGCUGGUUUAGCUUUUUCAAUCUGUGAUAUAUUAAAGAAUCUCUUGGCUAAUUGCUUGAUGUGAGCAUGGCAAAAAUUGCAAAAUAAGGGUCACACAUUUUCGACUUUUUAUCUGUUGAAAAAUGACAAAAGAAACUUAUUUAUCUUUACCUAUGUAUAUAUAUAUAUUUAUUAAUUGAAGUUUCAUUGACUAUGUUUUUAUUAUGUUAUCAAAGAAUUGUUUUUCAAGGUAAUUCUUGUAGCUAAAUGCCCAAUAGGACUAACUUUUUAAUAAUUGCAAUUGUGGGUCGGUCCGGUUUUGGAUUUUGUUUAGUAUGACCACAAUUUGAAUAUUGCAAUUUUCCCGUCCAUCAUCAAGCAAUGAUUUAUUAGCCAAUAACAUGCUAAACAAUUAAAGAAAUGUUCUUGUGAAAACUGUAUCAGGGAGCAAAGGAAUAAGCAGUGUAUAAGAAUUAUAUGUACCAUGUAUGAUUAUUUAAGAGUUGCUUUUAUAUUUAUAUAGAGAAAAUUGUCUUUUACCUGCAAUUUGUUAAACACAAAUGAUGUGACAAAACAUGAGAUCCCAUAUAUCCUUAUGUAUAGGAUCUCUGGACGAAACUAUAAAAUAGUUCAUCACAAUAUCUUGUUUGAAUUGUAUACUGUCCUCUGAUUGGUUAGAGCUUAAAGCUGGAAUUGCGUUCUGUCUUCUGAUUGGUUGGAGCUUAAAGCUGGACAGAUUAAGAUGCAUUGUCAGUGUACUUGUAAGAAUUUACAAUGAGCAAAUGUUGAUUUAUAUGUAUGAAAGUAAUUGCUGUAAUCAAUCACAUCCAGCAGUGUUAGCUGAUUGGUCUGUAAAAGUUUAUUUGAAAACAUGGCUACUUUGUUGUUAGAUGAACUAACUUUGAAAGAAAUUUCAGGUCCUUCUCUCAGUCAUGAUAUUCAUGCUAAAAUGAAUAAAAAAAUGUAAAAAAUAAUAAACAAAUAAAAAUGAUAAAAUUUUA